CUGAUUUUUGGCCUUCUCUUCCUAGUUCUUUCUGGAGUUGGGAAAAAUUGGGUUGAGAGGGCGAAAAAAAAAAAAC
This 76-nucleotide microRNA precursor is filed under the name Callithrix jacchus (white-tufted-ear marmoset). RNAcentral's name for it is "mir-320 microRNA precursor family". It matches the Rfam family "mir-320 microRNA precursor family". The record is from Rfam by way of RNAcentral. Lineage: Eukaryota; Metazoa; Chordata; Mammalia; Primates; Cebidae.